Long non-coding RNA from Pogona vitticeps (central bearded dragon), 643 nucleotides. RefSeq lists it as uncharacterized. The record is from RefSeq and is a predicted model, not a curated record. NCBI's taxonomy places the organism in Eukaryota, Metazoa, Chordata, Lepidosauria, Squamata, Agamidae.
UGUUUUACUUAACUUACUUACUCAGACGUGCAGUUGCCAGGUCUCAUGAUGAUGCUGAGGUCUCAGAGAACUGCCAUGCUUCCCCAGGUCUCUGCACACAGAGGCAAAUCCCAAGCAAGAUCUCUUUAAAAGUUACCAAUGUCUUCAUGAAUCUCAGCUUGAGGGUUUUUUUAAAAAAAGGGUGAAUGUGGAAGAAAGCAAAGUGGACAGAUUAGCCCACACAGGAAAAGAACUUCAGUGCAACGUGUUUGGAUGGAAGCGCCUUGUGUUCUAAGCUGGGGGUUUGGAUGCAGAAGUCUCUAUUGAACAGAAGCGAUUGUGUUCCCUUUGUAAGGAGCUAAGCAAAGCUCAUAGCUAUUGGAGAGUGGCAUCAAUGGGUCCACAAGCAACAAAACAAAGAGACCUUGAAACUAAUUUUCCACAGUGACAUCUGGAGCAUUUCAAGGGAUAACUGACACCAACUUUGUACCAAAUGCAUAUUGGCAAGUUAGAGAACCAUGUAAAGAUUAAAAUCCUCCCGUUAUCUGAUUAUCACAAAUAACUAGAACUGUGACUGAUUCCUUAAGCACCACUUCAUACGGAAAUCAGCUGUCUGAGAUUCCAUCGUGCUCCAUGAUCUUAAACAUUUUUAGUCAGAAGUAAA